Molecule: ribosomal RNA, 549 nt
Filed under: Hanseniaspora uvarum
Lineage: Eukaryota; Fungi; Ascomycota; Saccharomycetes; Saccharomycodales; Saccharomycodaceae
Description: LSU rRNA
Rfam family: Eukaryotic large subunit ribosomal RNA
Source: RNAcentral
GAGGAAAAGGAAACCAACUGGGAUUACCUUAGUAACGGCGAGUGAAGCGGUAAAAGCUCAAAUUUGAAAUCUGGUACUUUCAGUGCCCGAGUUGUAAUUUGUAGAAUUUGUCUUUGAUUAGGUCCUUGUCUAUGUUCCUUGGAACAGGACGUCAUAGAGGGUGAGAAUCCCGUUUGGCGAGGAUACCUUUUCUCUGUAAGACUUUUUCGAAGAGUCGAGUUGUUUGGGAAUGCAGCUCAAAGUGGGUGGUAAAUUCCAUCUAAAGCUAAAUAUUGGCGAGAGACCGAUAGCGAACAAGUACAGUGAUGGAAAGAUGAAAAGAACUUUGAAAAGAGAGUGAAAAAGUACGUGAAAUUGUUGAAAGGGAAGGGCAUUUGAUCAGACAUGGUGUUUUUUGCAUGCACUCGCCUCUCGUGGGCUUGGGCCUCUCAAAAAUUUCACUGGGCCAACAUCAAUUCUGGCAGCAGGAUAAAUCAUUAAGAAUGUAGCUACUUCGGUAGUGUUAUAGCUUUUUGGAAUACUGUUAGCCGGGAUUGAGGACUGCGCUCG